AUAUAUAUUUUGAUUUUUUGGAUUAAUUACCUGAAUAUACAACUUAAGUUUACAUAUUCUCCAUAUUUCCCUUAUUUCUUUGAAAAAUACUAAAAUCCCUAUUUUUUAAUAAGUCUAAUUUAACAGAUACAUUAUUAAAUUAGAAUCCUAAUAAAUCCUAACCAAUUAAAUCUUAUCCCUAAUUUUACUCUUUAUUUUCCCCAAAUAAAGAACCCAUUUACACCACUCCCAAAAUUAAUGCGUCAAUUUCUCAACGGUUCAUCUUCUCAAUUUUGAAAAUCAAAAUUUGUGCUCUCCAUCCGUCAACCUUCAUCUAAUCUGUCCGCCAUUUUUGUCUACUUUGUCAGCCUUUGAAAAUCAAAAUUGUGCUCUCCGUCCGUCCGUCUUCGUCUAAUCUGUCCGCCAUUUUUGUCUACUCUGUCCGCCUUAAAAAAUAAAAUCGCCAAUUUCGUGUACUCUGUCCGCCAUUUUCGUCCAAUAUUCUUGAAAGGUAUUGUGUUCUUCUUCGAUUCUCUCUUUUCAUUCUUCUAUUUUUCUAAUAUUUCAUGGAUCAUCUGUCAUUUAGUAUUGAGAUUACUCAAAUAAUCACUUCAAACUCUAAACAAAUCUAUAUUUUUGAAGAUCCGAAAUUGGUUGAAAACAAGUCUAAGAGCUUGCAUAAUUGGUUUGCAUUGUGUUGUUACAAUUAUGUAUCAAGCACAAUUUAUGUUUCAUGUAUCAUGUUAAAGUUUGUCGUUUAUAUAAAGUAUCAAGUAGACAGACUUAUAACUAUAGUUACACGUAUGUAUCAAGUACAACUUUGCAUUUUUUGUAUCAUGUUAGUAUCAAGUAGACAGACUUAUAACUGUAGUUACACUUAUGUAUCAAGUACAACUUUGCAUUUUUUGUAUCAUGUUAGGCUAUAAAGUGUCUGUUAAGUAUCAUUUUGACUGACGUAUGAUAUGUUGUUAGAAUUAUGUAUCAAGUUUAUUUUUGCAUUUUAUGUAUCAUAUUAACAACUUUGCAUUUUUUGUAUCAUGUUAGUAUCAAGUAGACAAACUUAUAAUUGUAGUUACCUUUAUGUAUCAAGUACAACUUUGCAUUUUUUGUAUCAUGUUAGGCUAUAAAGUGUCUGUUAAGUAUCAUUUUGACUGACUUAUGAUAUGUUGUUAGAACAGAUUGGGCAGCAUUAGAUGCAUAUAAAGACAAGAAAACUGGAGAACUUUUGGGUCCACAACAUUCGUUUAAUGUGGAGUUUGCUCAAGACAACAUGCAACAAAUAAGUGAUAGCCUUGAUUGCGGACUAUUCGUAGUUGUAUAUGCAGAAUUCUGAGUGACAAAAUCAACAUGUCAUGUAAUAGUUUUAAGAGUAGCUAUCUUCGCAAAAGAUAUGCGAUUCUUUUAUUGAAGUAUGGUCUCGACAAGAUGAAUGCUGGAUAUGUUAGCAACAGUGAUGACCCUUCAAGAAUGAAGAAUGUAUUAAACCCAUCAUCUGAAGAUGAAAUUGUUAAUGUAGGCUAGUUAGUUUUCAAUGUUUGAUUUUUUUUUUGUUUUUUGGAGUUAAACAAGAUGUUUGAAGUAUUUAUUAACAUAACAACACAUAUUGUUAAAUUAUGAAAGUGUUUUGAUUUUUAAAAUUAUUUAUUCUAUUACUUUAAUUUUAUUUUUAUUACCGUUAUGAAUUCAGGAAUUAUGUAUAUUGUUAUUGGGACAUGAAUGUCAUUAUUGUAUCAAAACUAUAAUAAUAAUUACAUUAAUGUAAUUAUUGUCAUAAAAAACACUUAUUAUAUAUACGUAAAUAUAUUGCAUGAUACAAAAAAAGAAAAUUAUAUACGUAAUUAUAUUUUGUAUAUGAUACAUGAAAUAUCAAAAUAUAUAAUAUCACAAACAGUGAUACUAGUUAUUACACUAGAUACACGCCAGUUUUUUUUUUUUUAAAAAUUAAUAUCUUUUGUACAAAUAAGAUAUAUUCAGUACUAUGAUUUAUAUAUAUUACGAACAAUUAUUUGUCCUUCAAAAUAUGAAAUUUUUUUAAGUAUCUACACACAUGAUACUAUAUUACUAAAUUGAAUUAAAUUAGAACU
Molecule: long non-coding RNA, 2063 nt
Organism: Solanum lycopersicum (tomato)
Lineage: Eukaryota; Viridiplantae; Streptophyta; Magnoliopsida; Solanales; Solanaceae
Source: RefSeq, a predicted model, not a curated record